GUGUCAGCCGCCGCGGUAAUACGAAGGGGGCUAGCGUUGUUCGGAAUUACUGGGCGUAAAGCGCGCGUAGGCGGAUUGGUCAGUCAGGGGUGAAAUCCCGGGGCUUAACCUCGGAACUGCCUUUGAUACUGCCAGUCUCGAGUCCGGAAGAGGUGAGUGGAAUUCCUAGUGUAGAGGUGAAAUUCGUAGAUAUUAGGAAGAACACCGGUGGCGAAGGCGACUCACUGGUCCGGUACUGACGCUGAGGCGCGAAAGCGUGGGGAGCAAACAGGAUUAGAUACCCUGGUAGUCCACGCCGUAAACGAUGGAUGCUAGCCGUCGGCAGGCAUGCCUGUCGGUGGCGCAGCUAACGCAGUAAGCAUUCCGCCUGGGGAGUACGGUCGCAAGAUUAAAACUUAAAUGAAUUGGCGGGG
Molecule: ribosomal RNA, 413 nt
Filed under: uncultured prokaryote
Description: bacterial SSU rRNA
Rfam family: Bacterial small subunit ribosomal RNA
Source: RNAcentral